GAAAAAACUGGCAAAAUGAGCUCUAUCCUGUAGACUCUUCCUCUCUGUCUCUCCUCAUAGGGAAGAUUAACCAAAGGAAAGGGAGACGGCAAGCCAGCCUGUGUCGCAGCAGCUGGUGACCUGGAUUCCUGCCCCUCUUCUGGACCAAGUGGCUGUGCCAGUGUGGGCAUGGGGCCCAAGGCUGCCGGCCUCCCAGGCAUUCACAUUCCACUCCCAGGAACCCACAGCCUCUAGUGCUGCAGAGCUCCUGCCAGCCUGAUUGGAGCAGCUUAUGACAUGACAGUGGCCAGAAUGACACAGACCUCAGUCCCAUAACCGUCCCUCUAGGGAAGAGGAUGGGGCAUGAAAGACCAGUGGAAGAAAUGGGAAUUCCUCAGGCUGAGGGAAUAAAAGGUCAUACUGUUAACUGCUCACUCUGCUGCCUCAAGGCUGGACUUUCAGACAUCCUACUUCUCAGCCCGGGAUUCUCUGUGCUGGACUCCACUUCUCACAUCUCCAGGCCCUUUUGGGUGGUUGAUGAAGGACCUGGAAGCUGAUUUCCUAAGAGUGAAUAACUUGGUGCCCUGAAGCUGACCCCUCAUCCGCUAUAAACUGUCGAUGCUGGGCUGGUAUAGUGCCUUUGGAAAGCAGUAAAGCAAUUACCAGCAAAAGGCAUGAAGCUCUUCCUCCCCCUUUGACCCAAUAAUCUCUUUUCCUGGGAAAUUAUUCCUAGGAAAUUAUCCAAAUGAAGCCAAGUGUUAUCUGCAUACAUGUGUGCAUUGAAGUCUUUCUUUAAAGGUCAAAAACUGGGAACCACAAUAAGGAAGUGGUUUAAUAAACUGGGACAUCAACACAAUGGACAAUCAGGCCUGGAAAUCCACAGCUGUGUGACUGUAAUGGGGAAUGGGAACAUGGAGAAUGCUUCUACUACACAGUGUAUCACCACUACACUCCCACCUAAAUAGCUAAUUCAACAAAUCACGCUUGUCAAGGAGAGAGAAGUCUCUCUGUUCAUGUUCAAAAUAAACUCAGCCUCUGACACCCCAAAGGAACAGAAGAGAAGCUUGAAUGCAACAAACACAAUAAGCUCAAUAAUUCUUGGCUUUUGAGUUUCCAAGGCCCCAGGUCCUGAUGAUGUAAUGACAUUUUCUGAGAGUGAUUUUGAUGAUUGGUUAUUGAUGAUUUUCACCUUUCACACUGUACUUGUUAUUAAGCCAUCUAAUUCAUCAUAUUAAAUUUUGUUAAGAUACCUGGUGUGGUUUCUGUUUUCUGGCCAGACUCUGAUACAUACACAGACCAUGGACCCUGAUGAAUGAUAUCUCCCCCGUAAUGAUAAGUGAUUUUUUAAGACUUCAAAAUUAGUGCACCCACCAUGAUUUCAACUUAUACAAAUGUAUACUU
This is a long non-coding RNA of Gorilla gorilla gorilla (western lowland gorilla), 1380 nucleotides long. RefSeq lists it as uncharacterized. The transcript is spliced from 3 exons. Lineage: Eukaryota; Metazoa; Chordata; Mammalia; Primates; Hominidae. The record is from RefSeq and is a predicted model, not a curated record.